RNAcentral lists this ribosomal RNA (388 nucleotides) under uncultured bacterium. RNAcentral describes it as "bacterial SSU rRNA". It matches the Rfam family "Bacterial small subunit ribosomal RNA", at positions 30 to 416 of the family's 1533-position model. The record is from RNAcentral.
AUUGAACGCUGGCGGCAGGCCUAACACAUGCAAGUCGAAUGGUAACAGGAAACAGCUUGCUGUUUCGCUGACGAGUGGCGGACGGGUGAGUAAUGUCUGGGAAACUGCCUGAUGGAGGGGGAUAACUACUGGAAACGGUAGCUAAUACCGCAUAACGUCGCAAGACCAAAGAGGGGGACCUUCGGGCCUCUUGCCAUCAGAUGUGCCAGAUGGGAUUAGCUAGUAGGUGGGUAACGGCUCACCUAGGCGACGAUCCCUAGCUGGUCUGAGAGGAUGACCAGCCACACUGGAACUGAGACACGGUCCAGACUCCUACGGGAGCAGCAGUGGGAAUAUUGCACAAUGGGCGCAAGCCUGAUGCAGCCAUGCCGCGUGUAUGAAGAAGGCC